UGCCGGAGCUGGUGCGGCUGGUGUUUGUGGGCGCGGUGGAAAUGCCGGACCUUAGGGACAUGCUGGUGCUAGUCGCCUGCGGCGUCUGUUAUAAGCUUAAUGAAAUAAAGAUUCUGGUAGAACCGGAUACCGCCGACACCAGAGAAUCUUGGGAAGUGGCGGUGGCGAAUCUUAAGGAAGAGUUUAGCGAUAUCAUGAACCUUUUUGACAUUGAUUUUACUUUGAGUUUAUACAAAGUUUAGACUUGCUCAUAUGUUUCCUAUCGUACUUUACUUUUUCUGAAACAAUAAACGUUUUACGGAUAU
Molecule: long non-coding RNA, 305 nt
Organism: Papilio polytes (common Mormon)
Lineage: Eukaryota; Metazoa; Arthropoda; Insecta; Lepidoptera; Papilionidae
Exons: 2
Source: RefSeq, a predicted model, not a curated record